RNAcentral lists this long non-coding RNA (319 nucleotides) under Mytilus galloprovincialis (Mediterranean mussel). The record is from RNAcentral. Lineage: Eukaryota; Metazoa; Mollusca; Bivalvia; Mytilida; Mytilidae.
GUUGACAUUCGAUAUUAUGAAAUGAUCAUAAACAGGUUUAUGGUCACAAUUUAGAAAAAAAUAAGAAAUAUGAAUACAACAAAAGGACAAAAGUAGUAUACCGCUGUUCAAAAGUCAUAAAUCGAUUGAGAUAAAAACAAAAUCCGGGUUACAAACUAAAUCCGAGGGAAUCACAUCAACUAUAGAAGAUAAACAACGGAACCACAGAAACAAAAAAAAUGUAAAUUUUUAAGACAUUUCAUUUAUUUUCAAGUUUGCAUGAGUAAAUAUUUGUUUAAUUAUAUGGACGCAGGUUAUCUAUCUGCUCUUACCACUAGAC